GUGAGUCAUCGAAUCUUUGAACGCAACUUGCACCUCUUGGGUGACUGAGAGGUAUGUCUGUUUGAGUACCUGAAUCUUAUCUUUAUUAAUUAUAAAGGUUUUGAGGUUUUUUUUGACUAUUACUCUCUUAGGGGAAAGGUCUACCUUUAAAUAUAUAAGGGGUAUAUAGAUCCCAAAACUAUGUGCUAAGGACCAGCAGGUCUUGUCAUAGUUUUUGAUUUCUAACCUCUCUCUCUAUUAUCAUCUUUAAUAUAAGGCCUCAAAUCAGACAAGAUUACCCGCUGAACUUAAGCAUAUCAA
This 300-nucleotide unclassified non-coding RNA is filed under the name uncultured fungus. RNAcentral's name for it is "sequence contains 5.8S rRNA gene, ITS2". The stretch from base 1 to 71 matches the Rfam family "5.8S ribosomal RNA", at positions 84 to 154 of the family's 154-position model. Lineage: Eukaryota; Fungi. The record is from RNAcentral.